Molecule: ribosomal RNA, 775 nt
Filed under: uncultured Neocallimastigales
Lineage: Eukaryota; Fungi; Neocallimastigomycota; Neocallimastigomycetes; Neocallimastigales
Description: partial large subunit ribosomal RNA
Rfam family: Eukaryotic large subunit ribosomal RNA
Source: RNAcentral
AGAUGCGAGAGUAGAGCAUAUCAAUAAGCGGAGGAAAAGAAACUAACAAGGAUUCCCUUAGUAACGGCGAGUGAAGCGGGAAGAGCUCAAAUUUGAAAUCUUCAAGGUUCUACCUUGACGAAUUGUAGUUUAUAGAAGUGUUUUCUGUUAGUAGAGUGGCAAAAGUUCUUUGGAAUAGGACAUCAUAGAGGGUGAGAAUCCCGUAUUUGGUCAUUCCUCCUAGCGUUGUGAUACACUUUCAAAGAGUCGGAUUGUUUGGGAAUGCAGUCCAAAAUGGGUGGUGAAAUUUCAUCUAAAGCUAAGUAUUGGCGAGAGACCGAUAGCGAACAAGUACCGUAGAGGGAAAGAUGAAAAGAACUUUGAAAAGAGAGUUAAACAGUACGUGAAAUUGUCAAAAGGGAAGCGUUUGACACCAGUGUUGUUUUUCCGAAAAUCAAUUACGAAUGUUUUGUUUUUAAGAAGUUAUGACUUCAUCGGCUUGCUUCUUUCUUUACGAAACUUUCUUAAUGCACUUUUCGGUUAACAAGUCAACAUCAAUUUCUUUUGUUGUAAAAGGGUAUGAGGAAGGUGGCUUUCUUUUCGGAGAAAGUGUUUAUAGCCUUGUGCCUCUACAAUCGGAGAGAUUGAGGUCUGCAGCGUAGAUCCUUCGGGGUUAGAUACGUUUGUGCUAAGUUAUAGCUUUUCAUAGACAACUUGUUGACUAUGUUUAGUCUUGUAGCUUACUCGCUGACGCUAUUUUACCUACGCUUAGGAUGUUGACGCGCGUGUGUGCGUG